This 700-nucleotide ribosomal RNA is filed under the name uncultured bacterium. Its description in RNAcentral is "bacterial SSU rRNA". It matches the Rfam family "Bacterial small subunit ribosomal RNA", at positions 42 to 741 of the family's 1533-position model. The record is from RNAcentral.
UCAGGCCUAACACAUGCAAGUCGAGGGGUAGAAUGUCUUCGGAUAUUUGAGACCGGCGCACGGGUGCGUAACGCGUAUGCAACCUACCUCUUACUGGGGAAUAGCCCGGAGAAAUUCGGAUUAAUGCCCCAUAUGCUCGUACGACCUCAUGGUCGAGCGAGGAAAGUUCCGGCGGUAAGAGAUGGGCAUGCGUCCUAUUAGCUAGUUGGUGAGGUAAUGGCUCACCAAGGCGACGAUAGGUAGGGGGCCUGAGAGGGUGAUCCCCCACACUGGUACUGAGACACGGACCAGACUCCUACGGGAGGCAGCAGUGAGGAAUAUUGGGCAAUGGAGGAAACUCUGACCCAGCCAUGCCGCGUGCAGGAAGACGGCCCUAUGGGUUGUAAACUGCUUUUGUACGAGAAUAAACCUUUCCACGUGUGGAAAGCUGAAGGUACCGUACGAAUAAGGAUCGGCUAACUCCGUGCCAGCAGCCGCGGCAAUACGGAGGAUCCAAGCGUUAUCCGGAUUUAUUGGGUUUAAAGGGUCCGUAGGCGGGUUUUUAAGUCAGUGGUGAAAGCCUACAGCUUAACUGUAGAAUUGCCAUUGAUACUGGAGACCUUGAGUGUAGUAGAAGUAGGCGGAAUAAGGCAUGUAGCGGUGAAAUGCAUAGAUAUGCCUUAGAACACCGAUUGCGAAGGCAGCUUACUAUGUUACAACU